AUGGGCGGAAGCCUGAACCAGCCAAGUAGCGUGCAGGAGGACGGCCCUACGGGUUGUAAACUGCUUUUAUGCGGGGAUAAAGUGAGGGACGUGUCCCUUUUUGCAGGUACCGCAUGAAUAAGGACCGGCUAAUUCCGUGCCAGCAGCCGCGGUAAUACGGAAGGUCCGGGCGUUAUCCGGAUUUAUUGGGUUUAAAGGGAGCGUAGGCCGGGGAUUAAGUGUGUUGUGAAAUGUAGGCGCCCAACGUCUGACUUGCAGCGCAUACUGGUUCCCUUGAGUACGCGCAACGCCGGCGGAAUUCGUCGUGUAGCGGUGAAAUGCUUAGAUAUGACGAAGAACCCCGAUUGCGAAGGCAGCCGGCGGGAGCGCAACUGACGCUGAAGCUCGAAGGUGCGGGUAUCGAACAGGAUUAGAUACCCUGGUAGUCCGCACGGUAAACGAUGGAUGCCCGCUGUCGGCGCCUUGCGCCGGCGGCCAAGCGAAAGCGUUAAGCAUCCCACCUGGGGAGUACGCCGGCAACGGUGAAACUCAAAGGAAUUGACGGGGGCCCGCACAAGCGGAGGAACAUGUGGUUUAAUUCGAUGAUACGCGAGGAACCUUACCCGGGCUUGAAUUGCAGGAGAACGAGACAGAGAUGUUGAGGUCCUUCGGGACUCCUGCGAAGGUGCUGCAUGGUUGUCGUCAGCUCGUGCCGUGAGGUGUCGGCUUA
This 709-nucleotide ribosomal RNA is filed under the name Prevotella denticola. Its description in RNAcentral is "bacterial SSU rRNA". It matches the Rfam family "Bacterial small subunit ribosomal RNA", at positions 371 to 1082 of the family's 1533-position model. Lineage: Bacteria; Pseudomonadati; Bacteroidota; Bacteroidia; Bacteroidales; Prevotellaceae. The record is from RNAcentral.